Molecule: ribosomal RNA, 254 nt
Filed under: uncultured bacterium
Lineage: Bacteria
Description: partial 16S ribosomal RNA
Rfam family: Bacterial small subunit ribosomal RNA
Source: RNAcentral
UACGGGGGGAGCAAGCGUUGUUCGGAUUUACUGGGCGUAAAGGGCGCGUAGGCGGCCACCGCAAGUCGACUGUGAAAUCUCCGGGCUUAACCCGGAACGGUCAGCCGAUACUGCGGGGCAAGAGUGCAGAAGGGGCAACUGGAAUUCUCGGUGUAGCGGUGAAAUGCGUAGAUAUCGAGAGGAACACCUGCGGCGAAGGCGGGUUGCUGGGCUGACACUGACGCUGAUGCGCGAAAGCUAGGGGAGCGAACGGG